UUGAGAACUUUAUUAGCCCUUGGAAUUUCUGGUUUUGAUGAUGUUUCCGAGGGUCAUGGAAACUAGAAUUUUAGAGAAAACCUUGUUUGGUGCAAAAUCAAAGCUUAUGCAUUGGGUGACUUUCUUGUCGUCACAAUAUAUUUUGAAUGAUUAAUUUGUGGUUAAGAUAUAAGGUUGGUCCUUUCAUCUAAUACUGCAUGAGUGGCACUCAUAUGGAUCCGUUAUUUUAUGUACCUAUAGAGGAAUUUAUCUAUUUUCUUUUUUCAUUUAUCGCCUAGCAAACGUUUCUAUUGCCAAUUUACUGAAGUAAUCAUCUUUUCAUUUUUUUGAAAUAUAUGUUAAGGACCUAUACAUGAUAUCUUGGUUUGUCCUGGCUGCUCUAUGUUUCUUGUACGUUUUAAUUUUUUUAGUUUCACCGUGCUCUCUCCCUAUUUCCCCCCUGAACAACGGGAAACUCAUUUGUGUACAUUUAAAGUGUGAUCUGGUAAUACCUUUCAUAGUUGUGAGUUACUGGGUUAGCGUGAUCUUUUUAAUCUGAAAUCAUUUUUCUACAUGUUGAAAGUGUAGAAAAACUCUACAACAAGCUCUUUAACUGUACCACCACCUAUGGUGCAAAAACUCAUUUUUGAUUGAGAAAAAACUCCAUAUUAAUGGUUCAUGCUACUAUAUUCACUGUAUAUCAGAGCUUCACGAUGAAAAGAAUAGCUCGUGAGGUUUAAAGCAGUGAUAGAUUAAAGUUGGAGCUUCACGAUGCUUCUGAUCUUAAAUAGAUCAGUUGAUGAAAGUCUUAAGAAGGCUGCCUCUGACAUGUAUUAUUGCUUAUUUUUAUUAGAUUUUGCUAAGCAAUUUGUGCUAUAGAAAGAGUUUGUUAAAUUUUUGACACAAAUUAGAAGUGCUCACUUUUGGAAACCUUAAAGGGCCAAAAAUGCUCAAGAGCAUAUUUGAGGAACAACUUUUAACCUACACCCAAACAUAAGUGAUAUUGUUUUUUUCUUGUUCCUAGUGAUUGAAUUAUCUUUGAUGUUAUGUUUUUGAUAAUUUUUAUUGGCAGAAUUUGAAAAUAUGAAAUGCUCUUGAAAAUUUUGCCUAAAGUUUAGCUUUACGGAUGCUUAUACAUUCUCUCUAUUGGAUAUUCUUAAUCUGAAAUUGUAAUUUCCAUCAUGUGUGCCUGUUGUUUUGCGUCUUCAGGAUCUAUAGGACUUGGUGGUUCAGUUGAUCUUCUAGACCAUUAUAAACUUAGGAAACAUCUUGAUUUUUUAUGUAAGUGAUCAUUACCACCCUUUAUAUCUGAGACAGAAUACCUUAGGAGUGUGGUGGGGGACAGAGAAAUAAGGAGAGGUGAAGGGAUGGAACUAGAUCAGCUGUCCAAAAGCUCCUCCUAUGAGGGACGCAGAUGUGUACACUUGUAUUCCUUUUGGCUUGGAUCUACUCACGGAUGCUUUUCGGCUCAUAGAAAUAUGAUCUGUUGAUCUUCCAUCGGCAGGUAUUGGGUUACCUUCAGGUGCAUCAAGGCAUAAAAAGAACAAACACAAAGAUAGGUCAAGGAAACAGGAUCCUAACAGUUGAAUUGAUAAGGAUCGCAUGCCAAUCAGGGAUAACAAUAAGGAGAAAAAUGGGAGUAAGAAGCAGAAUCAUCGUCCAGAUUUGUUUCUGAGACAGCAAGUAUAGGUAACACAUAACCCGGGUUUCAUUUUUGUGAUAGUGGUUAGAUCCAAGAUAAAAAUUUGGCUUCUUCUUUCAAUAGCAAUUUUGAAUGGUGUAAAUGAUUGUCCUUGGCUUGCAGACUUGAAAUUAAUUUUAUGCUUCUUGCCAUGAACAGUUGCUUAUAUUUUUUCAUGAUCAAUUCUACAUCUAAUAUUUCAAAUGGAACUCUUUCAGCAUAAAAUGUGAAGUAU
Long non-coding RNA from Solanum stenotomum, 1895 nucleotides. RefSeq lists it as uncharacterized. NCBI's taxonomy places the organism in Eukaryota, Viridiplantae, Streptophyta, Magnoliopsida, Solanales, Solanaceae. The transcript is spliced from 2 exons. The record is from RefSeq and is a predicted model, not a curated record.